CCUGUGCCUGCCCUGGAGCUAGAUCAGGUUCUGGCGACUGCUCCAACCUGGAACGCCGGCUCAGUAGCGCCCAAGCCGAAGGCGAAGGGGAAGAGGAACGAAGUGUGGGAUGGGGGGCGGCCCCUCAUUGGGGGUUCAGGACGGUGUGGACCUGCGCCCCUCUUCCCCGUAGCGACCGUGUUGGAGAAACUCGCUCGGAGGACCAGUGUGCUGCGGGGGCCAAAACUCACGCUGCCCAGCCUUGAAGAGCUGGAGAACGGAGCCGGGCCCCGCCGAACCUGCGCUCGCAGAGAAUGUUAUCUUCACAGCAACUUAGCAAGCCCCACAGAACAAAAGUUAAAGCGUGAUUGCACUAUACCUUGCCCCGGGUUACUCAGGCGCCUGUCUCCCAUUUUGGACAUGCAGGAAAUGUUGGAUUUGGGGAGGUUUGAUUUGGCUGGGUUUGGUUUGUCUAUAUAAGCCCUGCUGGAGUACUGUACUGAGGAACGCGCCUUGAUGGACUCGGGUGUUAAUUAACGCGCUAAUUUGAGCUUCAGGAGCGGGAGGCGGCCGGUAGCACCGCGAGCCGCGAGGGGCCAGUGACCUCUAGUGGACAUGAGGAGAUAUGCAGCGCGAGUGAGCGUGUAGCAGAGAAAACUCUUUCCUGAGCAGCUGCUCGCGUGUCUCCUCUGAAUCCAAUGCAAGGGAGGGACACAAGUCCCCAAUUUAAGGGAGAAAGAGCCGUCAGCAAGUGGUGUCGACCAAAGACCUUAGCUCUUCUGAUGUAUCUGAAAUCUAAACGCAAUUUAAGCGCGCGUGCACACACACAUUGUUACUUAUCAGUUUUUCCAGCGAGAGAAGAACAUAUGGAAAGGGUUUGAGAAGUGAGCGUGAAUAACUUUGGUUUCUGAACCUAGAGAAAAGCAGGGCUUUCAAAGCUCCGGAGGCACCAGCGAUUCAGGGGAAGGAGUCGGAGUGUGAUUCUGUAAACAAAGUUCAUCAGUACUCCCAAGAUUUUUUUUUUUUUCUGUAAAGAAUUGAGAAAAAAAAAACGUAAAAAGCUUAGUUGGGUCAACAACAAGAAAGUAAUCGAACAAAUGAUGUGUGGAAAGGUCCAGAUGCUCCUGAGUUCACACCCCUCAGGCAAAUAAGAAGACAAAAAUAAGAACAAAAGAACCCCUUCGCUUAACAAAAAUAAAAUAAAGGCCAAGAGGAGAAAAUGAUCUGUUUUGGUUUUUUAACCUUCAUUUAUUUCAUUGGUUAGUUAAACUACUGCAGAAAUUUUUGGAAAGAUCGUCCUGGUGCUUCUGCAAGCGCCAAAAGCAAACCAUGGACCUGAUAGUUCAGGCAGAAUACCAUUUUUUAAAAUAAACCAAAGUCUGUAUUUUAUCCUUCCCCAUUCCACAGACCGCAGCAGACUGUGGAAGCUGGCGAGGCCCAGUAGAAUCCCGCGACCCCACAGCCUCAGCGCUCAGGGUUCCACGGUCCAGUACAGGCUAAACUGACCUCGCCGACGGCCGCGCCCACUUGGGCACUUCUCCCGGGUCUUGUUCUACGGGCGUUUGAGGAUUUCUUAGUCUCUUUCUUCCCUGGCACUCUUCCUCCGAGGCCAGAAGUCUGAAUUACUAGCAGCUACCAGCCGCUUGGAGCGGGAACGUGGAGGUGAUCCCCUCCCCGGGAGUAGCCUGUCCGUCCCAGCUCUCCUCCCUUCUGUGCCUGGCGGUUUUGCGGUACCCGAAUCUGUCCUCAAGGGUUGGGGGAGGGGUGGAUAUGGGGGGAUCAGAGACAUUACCUUUUCCCAAACUGUGAGCACAGCCCGCUUGGGGUUGGUUUCACAUCGCUCAGGACUGGGGUUCCACGCCUGGAGCGCAGUUACCUUGUUGCGCCCGCAUGUGCCUCGGGAAGUGCAUCUGCGACCCUAGGUCGGGGACCACCGCGUUAGUGAGGGACAGCCGAGUCGGGGGGCAGUCUCCCCUGGUGGACAGUAUGAAGUUUGGACAGCAGGGGAAGGAAGAGAGGAACUGGAGGUUGGGGGAGGCUAGAGAGCAACGUUUGCUCUCUGAACUUUUCCUUCUCCCCUUUGCGCCUUCUGAAAUGGCCUGGGAGUUAGCAGAGGUCGGGAAGCUGCUGUAAGAGCGAAACGUUGCCCCACUUGGCGGUGUCCAGGUCUC
Molecule: long non-coding RNA, 2150 nt
Filed under: Homo sapiens (human)
Lineage: Eukaryota; Metazoa; Chordata; Mammalia; Primates; Hominidae
Description: HSALNT0091044
Source: RNAcentral